RNAcentral lists this ribosomal RNA (336 nucleotides) under Triticum aestivum (bread wheat). Its description in RNAcentral is "partial small subunit ribosomal RNA". The record is from RNAcentral. Lineage: Eukaryota; Viridiplantae; Streptophyta; Magnoliopsida; Poales; Poaceae.
AUGCCUCCAAUACAGACAUGUAUCUAUGUAUCAGUUACAUUGGUUGCAAUGAAGUUACAUUUUCAGCCUAUUGCUCCUAUAUACUUCCUUGCUCUCUCUGACAAUCACAAUUAUGACCAAGUUUCGGUGUUAUAUUUACCAGCCCUUUCCAGUUUCCUGAGCCAUCCUGCAUCGCCGCCCUUUUUGCGGACAACUUCUUCCAGCGCAGCUCUAACAUCAGCAGGCAUUUUGGUAGACGACCCCGCGACGUAUACUGCGGCACCAGAGCAUAACAUGUUCAGCACCCUUGCGCUCUGCUCCCUUAUCUUGUGUUGCACAUACACCUUCUCAGGCUGA